This is a long non-coding RNA of Apis florea (little honeybee), 241 nucleotides long. The record is from RefSeq and is a predicted model, not a curated record. NCBI's taxonomy places the organism in Eukaryota, Metazoa, Arthropoda, Insecta, Hymenoptera, Apidae.
GUAGAUCGUCCAGCCAACAAAAUAUCCAGAGCAGGGAGCAGAGAUAUAUCGUGUUCCGAUAUGGAGUUCGAGAAGAGCAAUGUGGCUGUCACGGAGGUAACGCGAGCUCCGCUAUCAACGGUAUCGACGACGCUCCAAAUCUCGUAAUCUACAGAUGCGGCCUUCGGCUGUCGAUUCGAAUUCGUCGUCGAUCGGUGUAUUAUCCGCUCGGUAGAGAGGAGGAGGAGGAGGAGGAGGAGGA